RNAcentral lists this ribosomal RNA (465 nucleotides) under Vreelandella stevensii. Its description in RNAcentral is "partial 16S ribosomal RNA". It matches the Rfam family "Bacterial small subunit ribosomal RNA", at positions 338 to 795 of the family's 1533-position model. Lineage: Bacteria; Pseudomonadati; Pseudomonadota; Gammaproteobacteria; Oceanospirillales; Halomonadaceae. The record is from RNAcentral.
CCUACGGGGGGCUGCAGUGGGGAAUAUUGGACAAUGGGCGAAAGCCUGAUCCAGCCAUGCCGCGUGUGUGAAGAAGGCCUUCGGGUUGUAAAGCACUUUCAGUGGGGAAGAAAGCCUUGGGGCUAAUACCCUCGAGGAAGGACAUCACCCACAGAAGAAGCACCGGCUAACUCCGUGCCAGAAGCCGCGGUAAUACGGAGGGUGCGAGCGUUAAUCGGAAUUACUGGGCGUAAAGCGCGCGUAGGCGGUCUGAUAAGCCGGUUGUGAAAGCCCCGGGCUCAACCUGGGAACGGCAUCCGGAACUGUCAGGCUAGAGUGCAGGAGAGGAAGGUAGAAUUCCCGGUGUAGCGGUGAAAUGCGUAGAGAUCGGGAGGAAUACCAGUGGCGAAGGCGGCCUUCUGGACUGACACUGACGCUGAGGUGCGAAAGCGUGGGUAGCAAACAGGAUUAGAUACCCUUGUAGUC